This 822-nucleotide ribosomal RNA is filed under the name uncultured Allomuricauda sp. RNAcentral describes it as "bacterial SSU rRNA". It matches the Rfam family "Bacterial small subunit ribosomal RNA", at positions 669 to 1505 of the family's 1533-position model. The record is from RNAcentral. Lineage: Bacteria; Pseudomonadati; Bacteroidota; Flavobacteriia; Flavobacteriales; Flavobacteriaceae.
UGUGGUGUAGCGGUGAAAUGCAUAGAUAUCACAUAGAACACCGAUCGCGAAGGCAGGUGACCAACCAUGUACUGACGCUGAUGGACGAAAGCGUGGGUAGCGAACGGGAUUAGAUACCCCGGUAGUCCACGCCGUAAACGAUGGAUACUAGCUGUGGGGACUUCGGUCUCCGUGGCCAAGCGAAAGUGAUAAGUAUCCCACCUGGGGAGUACGUUCGCAAGAAUGAAACUCAAAGGAAUUGACGGGGGCCCGCACAAGCGGUGGAGCAUGUGGUUUAAUUCGAUGAUACGCGAGGAACCUUACCAGGGCUUAAAUGCAGGCUGCAUGGGGUAGAGAUACCCCUUUCUUCGGACCGCCUGCAAGGUGCUGCAUGGUUGUCGUCAGCUCGUGCCGUGAGGUGUCAGGUUAAGUCCUAUAACGAGCGCAACCCCUACCGUUAGUUGCCAGCAUGUCAAGAUGGGGACUCUAACGGGACUGCCGGUGCAAACCGUGAGGAAGGUGGGGACGACGUCAAAUCAUCACGGCCCUUACGUCCUGGGCUACACACGUGCUACAAUGGCCGGUACAGAGGGAAGCCACCCCGCAAGGGGGCGCGGAUCUACAAAACCGGUCACAGUUCGGAUCGGGGUCUGCAACUCGACCCCGUGAAGCUGGAAUCGCUAGUAAUCGGAUAUCAGCCAUGAUCCGGUGAAUACGUUCCCGGGCCUUGUACACACCGCCCGUCAAGCCAUGGAAGCCGGGAGUGCCUGAAGUCCGUCACCGCGAGGAGCGGCCUAGGGCAAAAUCGGUAACUAGGGCUAAGUCGUAACAAGGUAGCCGUAA